AACGCACGAGACCUGCGGACCUGCGGAAGGAUCAUUACCGAGUUAUACAACUCCCAAACCCACUGUGAACCUUACCUCAGUUGCCUCGGCGGGACCGCCCCGGCCGCCGCGCAAGCGGCGCCGGACUCCAAGGCGCCCGCCGCAGGGACCCAAAACUCCUUUGCAUUACGCCCAACGGCGGGAAUUUUUUCUCUGAGUGCAUAAGCAAAACAAAUGAAUCAAAACUUUCAACAAUGGAUC
Molecule: unclassified non-coding RNA, 240 nt
Filed under: soil metagenome
Description: partial contains 5.8S ribosomal RNA, internal transcribed spacer 2, and large subunit ribosomal RNA
Source: RNAcentral